RNAcentral lists this unclassified non-coding RNA (635 nucleotides) under Hevea brasiliensis (rubber tree). Lineage: Eukaryota; Viridiplantae; Streptophyta; Magnoliopsida; Malpighiales; Euphorbiaceae. The record is from RNAcentral.
GAUAAUGAACCUUUCUUGCUUGCUUCUGCAACACAGAUUAAUAAACGUUUAGUUGAUAUCAUGAGCCAACCGGCUAUUGAUGCUCAAGCAGCUGCUAUUGGUGCAUUAUAUAACCUUUCAGAAAUAAAUAUGGACUGCCGUUUGAAGCUUGCUAGUGAACGAUGGGCUAUUGAUAGACUGUUGAAGGUGAUUAAGAUGCCACAUCCAGUGCCAGAAGUGUGCAGGAAAGCAGCAACGAUUUUGGAAAACCUUGUAUCAGAGCCACAGAACAAGCCCUUCCUGCUAAUGCAUGAAAAUGCAUUUGCGGAGAUGCUUUUUGGUGACCCAAGAUACUCAGACAUAUUUUCCAGGAUACUAUACGAACUGACAUCACGGCCAAGCAACAAAAUGGCAUCAGCUCGGGGGAUCUGGGGCAUGUAACAUCAAACACACAAGGUACUUUGUCUGGUGAUAAUUCAUCUGAAAUAUGUUGUUGUACAUAGAUUUAAUUGUGCUUAGUUAUGCUUUCGUUGUAAACCUAACUUUUAAUUGACCUCAGAAGUGCAGUAUAUAGGUUUGCCAUUUCUGGCCUUCAUUUUAUUCGAAGCUAUUACAACUUUGAAUCACUGUUUGCUUAUACAUCGGAUAUUGCUUAC